CGGAGCCGUAUGACGCAAGAGUGUCACGUACGGUUCUAUAAAAGGUUGAAAUAACAUUGCUAAAAUUCCUGGAAACUCAAGAGUGAUAAAUUGAAGCUGCAAAACUUAUUAAAACAAUAGAAAAUAGAUAUUUCUUCCAACCUUGGU
This 147-nucleotide non-coding RNA is filed under the name Olea europaea subsp. europaea. The record is from RNAcentral. Lineage: Eukaryota; Viridiplantae; Streptophyta; Magnoliopsida; Lamiales; Oleaceae.